UUCAAAUGGCUGCUUUUAACCUUGGGUCCAGGUAUGGCUACCUUCUCCCAUACAAAGCUGCCUGAUUAUGAAGAUCAGGCCAUUUCCUGGGUGCCCUCACUGAGAUAUACGUCUGCUCUUUGAAGUCCAAGAUCCAGAAUUGUGUUUUGUUGCUCAUCCAUUCCUGACCUACACAUGGAAGGAGAACCUCUUGAUGUGCCCUGCCCCAUGGAUCCCCCACCAUAUCCUAAGUAUAAUUAUUUGUAAGAUGAACCAUUAAAAUUGAUGGGAUCUACUUCCUGAAUUCUCUCCUGGCUUUAUUCCUCUUUUCAUUUAAUUCAACUAAUUGAGAGAGUGCCUGUUUUUUUAAAAAAAAAAAAUGACAGAAGAAUCAGAGCCUACGGAAAGAGGAUGGUUGUCUCGUGGAGCCUGGAAAAACAAUCAUUUUGAGGAGCAGAUGUUCCGUUCUGACUAGAAAUAUCACAUAUAACGGCUACAUUGUGCACUGAAUGAAGACUGCAGCCUGCAAAAGUUCAUGCCACAAUAAACCUGCUAGUAUUCUGAGGUGCGACAGCACUUGUUUUUGUUGUUAUUAUAAAGACUGACACUGCUACUCUUGUAGGAACUAUACAUUAUAUUAGCAAUAGAAACAACAGAAGUAGCGACAAACAGAAAGUGACAUAUCAACAGGCUGAACUGCAAAGAGAAUAAGCACAGGAAUAGCUCUGAACAUGGCAUAUGUCUUGUCACUGCCUCAAGAAUGUGAAUGCUGUGUGUUCCGAUAACUGAUUUUUGUUUGUGUUCUAAGUCUAGAUUCUCUCCAUUUGUAAACCAGCUGCCAUGCUUAGCCAAUUAAU
This is a long non-coding RNA of Rhineura floridana, 836 nucleotides long. RefSeq lists it as uncharacterized. The record is from RefSeq and is a predicted model, not a curated record. NCBI's taxonomy places the organism in Eukaryota, Metazoa, Chordata, Lepidosauria, Squamata, Rhineuridae. The transcript is spliced from 3 exons.